UGGGGAAUAUUGGGCAAUGGGCGAAAGCCUGACCCAGCGACGCCGCGUGAGGGAAGAAGGUCUUCGGAUUGUAAACCUCUUUCAGCAGGGAAGAAGAAAGUGACGGUACCUGCAGAAGAAGUCACGGCUAACUACGUGCCAGCAGCCGCGGUAAUACGUAGGUGGCGAGCGUUAUCCGGAAUUACUGGGUGUAAAGGGUGUGUAGGCGGGAGUGCAAGUCAGGCGUGAAAUAUACGGGCUCAACCCGUAAACUGCGCUUGAAACUGUGCUUCUUGAGUGUGGGAGAGGUAAACGGAAUUCCUGGUGUAGUAGUGAAAUGCGUAGAUAUCAGGAGGAACACCGGUGGCGAAGGCGGUUUACUGGACCACAACUGACGCUGAGACACGAAAGCGUGGGGAGCAAACAGG
RNAcentral lists this ribosomal RNA (407 nucleotides) under uncultured bacterium. RNAcentral's name for it is "bacterial SSU rRNA". It matches the Rfam family "Bacterial small subunit ribosomal RNA", at positions 355 to 776 of the family's 1533-position model. The record is from RNAcentral. RNAcentral also lists the same sequence under 1 other name.